This is an unclassified non-coding RNA of Callithrix jacchus (white-tufted-ear marmoset), 148 nucleotides long. It matches the Rfam family "Metazoan signal recognition particle RNA". Rfam says of the family: The signal recognition particle (SRP) is a universally conserved ribonucleoprotein. It is involved in the co-translational targeting of proteins to membranes. Lineage: Eukaryota; Metazoa; Chordata; Mammalia; Primates; Cebidae. The record is from Ensembl.
GCCAGACAUGGUGGUGCACGCCUGUAGUCCCAGCUACUCCGGAGGCUGAGGUGGAAGGAUCACUCGAGCCCAGGAAGUCAAGGCUGCAGUGAGCCUUGAUCAGGCCACUGCACUCCAGCCUGGGCAACAGAGUGAGACCUUAUCUCAG